AAUAGAUACCCUGGUAGUCCACGCCGUAAACGAUGAGUGCUAAGUGUUAGAGGGUUUCCGCCCUUUAGUGCUGCAGCUAACGCAUUAAGCACUCCGCCUGGGGAGUACGGCCGCAAGGCUGAAACUCAAAGGAAUUGACGGGGGCCCGCACAAGCGGUGGAGCAUGUGGUUUAAUUCGAAGCAACGCGAAGAACCUUACCAGGUCUUGACAUCCUCUGCCAACCCUAGAGAUAGGGCGUUCCCCUUCGGGGGACAGAGUGACAGGUGGUGCAUGGUUGUCGUCAGCUCGUGUCGUGAGAUGUUGGGUUAAGUCCCGCAACGAGCGCAACCCUUGAUCUUAGUUGCCAGCAUUCAGUUGGGCACUCUAAGGUGACUGCCGGUGACAAACCGGAGGAAGGUGGGGAUGACGUCAAAUCAUCAUGCCCCUUAUGGCCUGGGCUACACACGUGCUACAAUGGAUGGUACAAAGAGCUGCGAACCCGCGAGGGUAAGCGAAUCUCAUAAAGCCAUUCUCAGUUCGGAUUGU
RNAcentral lists this ribosomal RNA (526 nucleotides) under uncultured bacterium. RNAcentral describes it as "bacterial SSU rRNA". It matches the Rfam family "Bacterial small subunit ribosomal RNA", at positions 777 to 1301 of the family's 1533-position model. The record is from RNAcentral.